AUGGACCUGUUCGUGUCGCCGGAGGGCGAUUCAGAAAAGAGGAUUAGCCAUGGGCAGAUGGAGGGUGUUGCUGUUGCGCGCCCUAUAGAGUCCCAGGCAUCUAUCAGCGUCGCCGAGGGCGACAUCCGCCGUGCCGGAGACCUCUACAGCAGCGGCGGAAAUGCUGGAUCUGUCGGCGAGGGUCCGCUUUUGCAAGUGUGCUCAGAGGCUACCAGCGGGUGGACACGCAGAGUAAGGAUAAGGAAAGCCCCUGCGGAGCGAGAGCUAAAUCCUAACCAGAAAAGUGCUCUUGAACUAUCGAUGAGGGCGUUCAUAAGUAAAUGA
RNAcentral lists this ribosomal RNA (324 nucleotides) under Triticum aestivum (bread wheat). RNAcentral describes it as "partial small subunit ribosomal RNA". Lineage: Eukaryota; Viridiplantae; Streptophyta; Magnoliopsida; Poales; Poaceae. The record is from RNAcentral.